GGGCCCGCACAAGCGGUGGAGUAUGUGGUUUAAUUCGAUGCAACGCGAAGAACCUUACCAGGGUUUGACAUCCUGCGAAUCUCUUGGAAACGAGAGAGUGCCUUCGGGAGCGCAGUGACAGGUGGUGCAUGGCUGUCGUCAGCUCGUGUCGUGAGAUGUUGGGUUAAGUCCCGCAACGAGCGCAACCCACGUCUUUAGUUGCCAGCAUUUAGUUGGGCACUCUAGAGAGACCGCCGGUGAUAAACCGGAGGAAGGUGUGGAUGACGUCAAGUCAUCAUGCCCCUUACAUCCUGGGCUACACACGUACUACAAUGGCAGUGACAGAGGGACGCUACCAGGUGACUGGAUGCAAA
This 353-nucleotide ribosomal RNA is filed under the name uncultured bacterium. RNAcentral describes it as "bacterial SSU rRNA". It matches the Rfam family "Bacterial small subunit ribosomal RNA", at positions 917 to 1271 of the family's 1533-position model. The record is from RNAcentral.